AGUGAACGCUGGCGGUAGGCCUAACACAUGCAAGUCGAACGGCAGCACAGUAAGAGCUUGCUCUUACGGGUGGCGAGUGGCGGACGGGUGCGGAAUACAUCGGAAUCUACUUUUUCGUGGGGGAUAACGUAGGGAAACUUACGCUAAUACCGCAUACGACCUACGGGUGAAAGCAGGGGAUCUUCGGACCUUGCGCGAUUGAAUGAGCCGAUGUCGGAUUAGCUAGUUGGCGGGGUAAAGGCCCACCAAGGCGACGAUCCGUAGCUGGUCUGAGAGGAUGAUCAGCCAGACUGGAACUGAGACUCGGUCCAGACUCCGACGGGAGGCAGCAGUGGGGAAUAUUGCACGAUGGGCGCAAGCCUGAUCCAGCCAUACCGCGUGAGUGAAGAAGGACUUCGGGUUGUAGAGCCCUGUUGUUGGGAAAGAAAAGCAGCAGGUUAAUACCCCACUGUUCUGACGGUACCCAAAGAAUAAGCACCGGCUAACUUCGUG
RNAcentral lists this ribosomal RNA (492 nucleotides) under uncultured bacterium. RNAcentral describes it as "partial 16S ribosomal RNA". It matches the Rfam family "Bacterial small subunit ribosomal RNA", at positions 29 to 507 of the family's 1533-position model. The record is from RNAcentral.